CACGUCAGCGCGACCUGCUGACGCGGAAGGAAAUCGCUUCUUCAAGGACGCGAUUUCCUUCAACAUCAGCAGGUCGCGCUGACGUGG
Molecule: non-coding RNA, 87 nt
Organism: Gossypium raimondii (Peruvian cotton)
Lineage: Eukaryota; Viridiplantae; Streptophyta; Magnoliopsida; Malvales; Malvaceae
Source: Rfam